RNAcentral lists this ribosomal RNA (253 nucleotides) under uncultured bacterium. RNAcentral describes it as "partial 16S ribosomal RNA". It matches the Rfam family "Bacterial small subunit ribosomal RNA", at positions 524 to 776 of the family's 1533-position model. The record is from RNAcentral.
UACAGAGGGGGCAAGCGUUAUUCGGAAUUAUUGGGCGUAAAGGGCGCGUAGGCGGCUUGGCAAGUGGAUGGUGAAAUCCCUCGGCUUAACUGAGGAACUGCCAUCCAGACUGCUUUGCUUGAGGCCGGGAGAGGUGAGUGGAAUUCCCAGUGUAGCGGUGAAAUGCGUAGAUAUUGGGAGGAACACCAGUGGCGAAGGCGACCUUCUGGACUAAUACUGACACUGAGGCACGAAAGCGUGGGGAGCAAACAGG